Molecule: transfer RNA, 361 nt
Filed under: uncultured Microcystis sp.
Lineage: Bacteria; Bacillati; Cyanobacteriota; Cyanophyceae; Chroococcales; Microcystaceae
Description: partial 16S-23S ribosomal RNA intergenic spacer
Rfam family: tRNA (bases 136-209)
Source: RNAcentral
AAAGGGAGACCUAAUUCCAGUAGGAGACGAAAAAAAAGUAGUCGCUACCAAGAAUCAAUCCCAAAAGGUCGGAGCGAGGCAAAAUUGGCUUUCAAACUAGGUUCUGGGUUCACACAAGACCUGAAUCAGGAACAAGGGCUAUUAGCUCAGGUGGUUAGAGCGCACCCCUGAUAAGGGUGAGGUCCCUGGUUCGAGUCCAGGAUGGCCCACCUGCACAGGUGGAAGAAAGAAAAGAAGCUCCGAAUCAGCACCUUAUCUUACUUAUAUAGUAAGAGAGAAUGCUGGCUCUGAGUACAGAGUCCAGAGGAACCUUGAAAACUGCAUAGAGCUAGGUGAAAAAGCCAAAAAAGAAGACCGCAAG